GACGAACGCUGGCGGCGUGCUUAACACAUGCAAGUCGAACGGAAAGGCCCUGCUUUUGUGGGGUGCUCGAGUGGCGAACGGGUGAGUAACACGUGAGUAACCUGCCCUUGACUUUGGGAUAACUUCAGGAAACUGGGGCUAAUACCGGAUAGGAGCUCCUGCUGCAUGGUGGGGGUUGGAAAGUUUCGGCGGUUGGGGAUGGACUCGCGGCUUAUCAGCUUGUUGGUGGGGUAGUGGCUUACCAAGGCUUUGACGGGUAGCCGGCCUGAGAGGGUGACCGGCCACAUGGGGACUGAGAUACGGCCCAGACGCCUACGGGAGGCAGCAGUGGGGAAUAUUGCACAAUGGGCGGAAGCCUGAUGCAGCAACGCCGAGUGCGGGAAGACGGCCUUCGGGUUGUAAACCGCUUUCGCCUGUGACGAAGCGUGAGUGACGGUAAUGGGAAAAGAAGCACCGGCUAACUACGU
Molecule: ribosomal RNA, 467 nt
Filed under: uncultured bacterium
Lineage: Bacteria
Description: partial 16S ribosomal RNA
Rfam family: Bacterial small subunit ribosomal RNA
Source: RNAcentral